RNAcentral lists this ribosomal RNA (491 nucleotides) under uncultured bacterium. Its description in RNAcentral is "partial 16S ribosomal RNA". It matches the Rfam family "Bacterial small subunit ribosomal RNA", at positions 29 to 506 of the family's 1533-position model. The record is from RNAcentral.
AGUGAACGCUGGCGGUAGGCCUAACACAUGCAAGUCGAACGGCAGCACAGUAAGAGCUUGCUCUUACGGGUGGCGAGUGGCGGACGGGUGACGAAUACAUCGGAAUCUACUCUUUCGUGGGGGAUAACGUAGGUAAACUUACGCUAAUACCGCAUACGAUCCACGGGUGAAAGCAGUGGAUCUUCGCGCCUUGCGCGAUUGAAUUAGCCGAUUUCGGAUUGGCUAGUUGGCGGGGUACAGGCCCAGCAAGGGGCCGAUCCGUAGCUGGUCUGAGGGGAUGGUCAGCCACACUGGAGCUGAGACGCGAUCCAGACACUGACGGAAGGCAGCAGUGGGGAAGAGUGGACAAAGGGCGGAAGCCUGAUCCAGGCAUGCAGCGUGGGUGAAGAAGGCCUUCGGGUGGUAAAGCCCUUUUGUUGGGAAAGAACAGCAGCAGGUUAAUACCCCGCUGUUCUGACGGUACCCAAAGAAUAAGCACCGGCUAACUUCGU